Molecule: long non-coding RNA, 214 nt
Filed under: Sinocyclocheilus anshuiensis
Lineage: Eukaryota; Metazoa; Chordata; Actinopteri; Cypriniformes; Cyprinidae
Description: lncRNA (ENSSANG00000030202.1)
Source: RNAcentral
UGUUUUUUUUGGGGGGCUUGCUACAUGACAGUCAUGGCUGACUGUAAACCAAGUGAGGAAGAGAAGACUGAAUUGAGGAGAAAGCUCCAGGUCUGGUUUCCUGACCUCCAAAUGCCUGACUAUAAACCAAGUGAGGAAGAGAAAGCUAAAUUCAUAAGAAAGCUUCAGUCUGGUUUCCUGACCGGACAGAAGAACACCUGACAGCACCCAAACC